This 497-nucleotide ribosomal RNA is filed under the name uncultured bacterium. RNAcentral describes it as "partial 16S ribosomal RNA". It matches the Rfam family "Bacterial small subunit ribosomal RNA", at positions 28 to 507 of the family's 1533-position model. The record is from RNAcentral.
GAUGAACGCUGGCGGCGUGCCUAAUACAUGCAAGUCGAGCGAACAGACGAGGAGCUUGCUCCUCUGAUGUUAGCGGCGGACGGGUGAGUAACACGUGGAUAACCUACCUAUAAGACUGGGAUAACUUCGGGGAACCGGAGCUAAUACCGGAUAACAUGUUGAACCGCAUGGUUCAACAGUGAAAGACGGUCUUGCUGUCACUUAUAGAUGGAUCCGCGCCGCAUUAGCUAGUUGGUAAGGUAACGGCUUACCAAGGCAACGAUGCGUAGCCGACCUGAGAGGGUGAUCGGCCACACUGGAACUGAGACACGGUCCAGACUCCUACGGGAGGCAGCAGUAGGGAAUCUUCCGCAAUGGGCGAAAGCCUGACGGAGCAACGCCGCGUGAGUGAAGAAGGUCUUCGGAUCGUAAAACUCUGUUAUUAGGGAAGAACAAAUGUGUAAGUAACUAUGCACGUCUUGACGGUACCUAAUCAGAAAGCCACGGCUAACUACGUG